AUAUAGCUAGGAUGCAAAAGUGCAUUAUUCUGUUUGCUGUAUAAUAAACCAUGUAUCCUAGUAGAACGGCCUGAGGUAGAGUGGUUUUAGUCGGUAGGUCCGAGGACACCUUCCUCGGGAAUCUGACACUAUCCAGUCGUACGGAUGGCUGGGUGUCUUUUGAAGAUUUCCCUUCUUCCACGAAA
Non-coding RNA from Agrilus planipennis (emerald ash borer), 185 nucleotides. NCBI's taxonomy places the organism in Eukaryota, Metazoa, Arthropoda, Insecta, Coleoptera, Buprestidae. The record is from Rfam.